RNAcentral lists this ribosomal RNA (301 nucleotides) under uncultured bacterium. Its description in RNAcentral is "partial 16S ribosomal RNA". It matches the Rfam family "Bacterial small subunit ribosomal RNA", at positions 509 to 807 of the family's 1533-position model. The record is from RNAcentral.
CAGUCGCCGCGGUAAUACGAAGGGGGCUAGCGUUGCUCGGAAUGACUGGACGUAAAGGGCGCGUAGGCGGAUUGUUUAGUUAGGCGUGAAAUUCCUGGGCUUAACCUGGGGACUGCGCUUAAUACAGGCAGUCUAGAGUGAGGAAGAGGGUUGUGGAAUUCCCAGUGUAGCAGUGAAAUGCGUAGAGAUCGGAAGGAGCAUCUGUGGCGAAGGCGACUAUCUGGGCCAACACUGACACUGAGGCACGAAAGCGUGGGGAGCAAACAGGAUUAGAGACCCCCGUAGUCCCUGUCUCUUAUAC